This 1242-nucleotide long non-coding RNA is filed under the name Cyanistes caeruleus (blue tit). RNAcentral's name for it is "lncRNA (ENSCCEG00000021360.1)". The record is from RNAcentral. Lineage: Eukaryota; Metazoa; Chordata; Aves; Passeriformes; Paridae.
CUCUAAUUCAUUUUCUGCCUGAAAACUGAUGAGCAUUCUGGUGUACCUCUUUGUUACAGAAACCACUGUCCAGCUACAUCAUACUGUGUUUUGUCUGGAUGAGCUUAAAAGGUUGUUCUCUGUGGUGCAGUCUGCAUUUUAAGCCUGAAGCUGAGAUUAAAAAACAAGGACAAUCAAAUAUGGGGCACGACAGAACAUUGCCAGCUGCUUACAUUUGUUCCAGCAGGGCAUCAUCCUGUUGAGUGAAGCUUCCUUCAGAGGCCCAUGGUGAGCUCCUCAGCACGAGUGUGCAGGACAAUGUAAUGAAUCUGUGUAUUCAGCAGGAACUUGUUGCCCACAGCCAACCCCUCUGUGGUGGAACCUGCUCGCCAUGGAUUCUAAAACAAGGCAAUUAUUUAUGUUAAAGGGGAUCAAAGGAGAAAUGGGGACAAAUGCACAACUGUAAUAUAUAAAGUCUUCUUGGGCUUCAUGGUAUUAUUUUGAUUGAGCUACUCUAACCACAAUUUAUGAGCCAAAGUCUCCAUUUACUUUGGUGCACCAAAGGGUGCAAAUCAUACUUAUGCUUAUAGCAAGCACACUCUGCAAGCAUAGACUUGCAGUCAUAAAAACAGUGUCUAGGCUCACAGCAAACAACCAAUGAUUUAUUAAAAUAAGGACAUCAAAAAUUAAACAAUCUCAGAAUUUUUCCCAUUAUUAACAUUUUCUGUGAAGAAACUUUCUCAAAAAGAGAUGACAGCUUUUAUUCUUUGCCAAUUCAGUUAUGCUAAUUUUAGAUGUAAUUUCUUACUUUUAUGACUGCUAUCUGCGUUAGGAUGUGUUUCUUUCUUUGCUUUGGUCUGCAGUUUGAAGAGAAAAUGCUUUGAAACAUUCACAGGCUGUGCUGGAAGUGGAGCAGCCCAUAGUGGCAUGCUAUACCAGCGUUUGGGUUUUUGUUUUGUAGUUCUUGCUUUGGUUUUGAGGAGAGAUGGUAAUCAAAGUUGGGCAGAUGGUGCUCCUAGACUAAGAAAACACUGAGAAAUCUCAAUAUUUAACCCAAAUAGGGAGAAGCUUGUGCUGCAGCAGAGUUCUGUGACCCUACAGAUUCUACCACACAGAAAAGCAGGACCUUUUAAAAGUGUGAGGCAGCUGCUCUGCCUUCUCCAUCCUGGUGAUUUUCCAGAUCCCAGUAGCUCACCUACCACCCACGUGGGAAGGUGGUUCACAAUUUAUGUUGCACCUCAAUUACCAACAAACCACAAGCCU